This 1074-nucleotide long non-coding RNA is filed under the name Salmo salar (Atlantic salmon). Its description in RNAcentral is "lncRNA (ENSSSAG00000083666.1)". Lineage: Eukaryota; Metazoa; Chordata; Actinopteri; Salmoniformes; Salmonidae. The record is from RNAcentral.
CAUUAGAGACUCGUUGAUGUUGCCAGUGAACUUUACUAUACAGUAGUUACAGGAUUUACUGUCAUUUAAGAGAAUCCUGGAGUUGGAUCCCAUCCCCCAGGAACUCACAUUCAUAGAUGAGGCUGGAAUCAACGUAGCAAAGACGAGAUGGAGAGGAAGGAACAUCAUUGGUCAAGGCGUCAUCAUUGAGGUACCUGGUCAGGGCUGGGGGAAUGUCACCAUAUGCCCAGCUAUGAGCCACAAUGGAGGUCAUCCACCACCAUGCCACCAUAUGCCCAGCUAUGAGCCACAAUGGGGGUCCUCCACCACCAUGCCACCAUAUGCCCAGCUAUGAGCCACAAUGGGGUCCUCCACCACCAUGCCACCAUAUGCACAUCUAUGAGCCACAAUGGAGGUCCUCCGCCACCAUGCCACCAUAUGCCCAGCUAUGAGCCACAAUGGAGGUCCUCCGCCACCAUGCCACCAUAUGCCCAGCUAUGAGCCACAAUGGAGGUCCUCCGCCACCAUGCCACCAUAUGCCCAGCUAUGAGCCACAAUGGAGGUCCUCUCACCAUGCCACCAUAUGCCCAGCUAUGAGCCACAAUGGAGGUCCUCCACCACCAUGCUACCAUAUGCCCAGCUAUGAGCCACAAUGGAGGUCCUCCACCACCAUGCCACCAUAUACCCAGCUAUGAGCCACAAUUGAGGUCCUCCACCACCAUGUGACCAUAUACCCAGCUAUGAGCCACAAUGGGGUCCUCCACCACCAUGUCACCAUAUGCCCAGCUAUGAGCUACAAUGGGGGUCCACCACCAUGCCACCAUAUGCCCAGCUAUGAACCACAAUGGAGGUCCUCCACCACCAUGCCACCAUAUGCCCAGCUAUGAACCACAAUGGAGGUCCUCCACCACCAUGCCACCAUAUACCCAGCUAUGAACCACAAUGGGGUCCUCCACCGCCAUGCCACCAUAUGCCCAGCUAUGAACCACAAUGGGGUCCUCCACCGCCAUGCCACCAUAUACCCAGCUAUGAGCCACAAUGGGGUUCUCCACCGCCAUGCCACCUGUGGACCAUACAACCACAGCAAUGGCCUGU